GUUGGACGGCGUGUUGUUAGGGCGCUCUAUCAGUAGUGCAUUUGCAAGUGGAGUGCGCUGAGGCUUGUGGAUUAUGCUAGCGGCUGGAUCUGCGUUUUGAGGCCACACUGUUCGCGGUGUGUAACCCGGACGUGAGGAAGGUCGUCUGCUCUGCAUGUGCAAGAGUGCGGUUGGAGUUGGUGGACGCCGUUCCAACGGCUGGUAACGGUCGCAUGCGACACGUGCUAGUCUGUCGUUUCGGUGUUCGCCGGUUCUUCGUACUUGCUCUCGGUGUAAAAGUUGGUCAUCUAUCCGACCCGUCUUGAAACACGGACCAAGGAGUUUAGCGUAUACGCGAGUCAUUGAGUGGAAAACUCAAAGGCGUAAUGAAAGUGAUUAUUUAAUAUGCGAUCGUGUGUGCUUCGGUGUGCAUGAGCAGCAUAACCCCGUCCCGAUCGCUUGCGAUGGGGCGGAGGUAGAGCGUACUCGCUGAGACCCGAAAGAUGGUGAACUAUUCCUGAGCAGGACGAAGCCAGAGGAAACUCUGGUGGAAGUCCGAAGCGGUUCUGACGUGCAAAUCGAUCGUCUGACUUGGGUAUAGGGGCGAAAGACUAAUCGAACCAUCUAGUAGCU
This 612-nucleotide ribosomal RNA is filed under the name Neopsilenchus magnidens. Its description in RNAcentral is "eukaryotic LSU rRNA". It matches the Rfam family "Eukaryotic large subunit ribosomal RNA", at positions 437 to 952 of the family's 3401-position model. The record is from RNAcentral. Lineage: Eukaryota; Metazoa; Nematoda; Chromadorea; Rhabditida; Tylenchidae.